This is a long non-coding RNA of Ipomoea nil (Japanese morning glory), 485 nucleotides long. RefSeq lists it as uncharacterized. Lineage: Eukaryota; Viridiplantae; Streptophyta; Magnoliopsida; Solanales; Convolvulaceae. The transcript has 3 exons. The record is from RefSeq and is a predicted model, not a curated record.
CGGCAGACCACAAUCCCCUUCUCUCAUCUCGCUCUAAACCAUCUCAAAUAUCCUCAAAUCCCUUCCCUUCUCCGGCUUUAAAUUUCAAAAUCUCCAACGGAUUAAAAUUAUAAGUCGGCGCCGAGGCUCGGCUACUCGGCUAUUUAUUUAGGGUUUCCUAUUUCCGAUUGCUCUGUCUCAGCUAUAGAGGAGGGCAGAGGAGGGGGCAUUCAUUCAUGGAUUCGGAAGAAUUGGAAGGAACUUCUUGAGGUGCUGGCAUGGAAGGAAGGAUUCUCCCCUUGAUGUCAUUGCCAUCAAUGACACCGGAGUUGUCAAGCAGGCCUCUCACCUUCUCAAAUACGACGGCAAGGUCAUCAAAAUCGUAUCCAGCCGCAAUCCCAUCAAUAUCCCGGCAAGGUUGAACUGAAAGCUAUGUGGGAGGUGGAAAAGAAAGAGCAGCGGAUAAGAAAUUGACAGUAUACUAUUGAGGAAAAGGUGAUUUAAAG